Molecule: ribosomal RNA, 266 nt
Filed under: uncultured bacterium
Lineage: Bacteria
Description: partial 16S ribosomal RNA
Rfam family: Bacterial small subunit ribosomal RNA
Source: RNAcentral
CUUAGUGGCGGACGGGUGAGUAACGCGUGGGUAACCUGCCUCAUACAGGGGGAGUAACAGUUGGAAACGGCUGCUAAUACCGCAUAAGCGCACAGUACCGCAUGGUACCGUGUGAAAAACUACCGGUGGUAUGAGAUGGACCCGCGUCUGAUUAGCUAGUUGGUGGGGUAACGGCCUACCAAGGCGACGAUCAGUAGCCGACCUGAGAGGGUGACCGGCCACAUUGGGACUGAGACACGGCCCAGACUCCUACGGGAGGCAGCAUG